GAUCAUGGCUCAGGACGAACGCUGGCGGCGCGCCUAACACAUGCAAGUCGAACGGAGCUUAGAGAGCUUGCUUUUUAAGCUUAGUGGCGGACGGGUGAGUAACGUGUGGGCAACCUGCCCUAUACUGGGGAAUAAUCACUGGAAACGGUGACUAAUACCGCAUGUCAUCACGAGAAGGCAUCUUUUUGUGAGAAAAGGAGUAAUUCGGUAUAGGAUGGGCCCGCAUCUGAUUAGCUAGUUGG
RNAcentral lists this ribosomal RNA (242 nucleotides) under uncultured bacterium. RNAcentral's name for it is "partial 16S ribosomal RNA". It matches the Rfam family "Bacterial small subunit ribosomal RNA", at positions 15 to 252 of the family's 1533-position model. The record is from RNAcentral.